This 8499-nucleotide long non-coding RNA is filed under the name Cicer arietinum (chickpea). Its description in RNAcentral is "long non-coding RNA (CARI_LNC001312)". The record is from RNAcentral. Lineage: Eukaryota; Viridiplantae; Streptophyta; Magnoliopsida; Fabales; Fabaceae.
CACUAAUACAGUGGUAUUUUAACCCACAAAUUUGAUAUCAAAUUUCGACAUCAACAUAUAUGGUUAACACAGUUCAAAUAUGCGAAUAUAAGAAUGUGUCAGUGUUACAACUGAUUAAUCGUCCACAUAAAUAAAUGCAAAAGAUUGAUAUACCUCGACGGUCAUCAUUCAAUGAGCCUUCCAAUCGACAAUUCCUCCAAACUUAGAAACUGCGUGCUUAACAGAUUCAAAUGGAGGUGCUGUAUCAAUUAUGCCUCUUUUUUCAGCAAUUUGCUUUGCAUCUGUAGGUGAAUCAACACCUCCUACAGCAACAUCAACAAUCUUUGUUUAAGGCAGAUUCACAUUCAGUUCUUUCUGAUCAUUCUCCAACUCUUUCUGAUUGUUCAUUAUAUCUUCUAAGGAUCCUUGUUCAGAAUCUGCAACCACAGGUUCUUGGUCACUUUGCUCCAUUACAUGAUCUUCAUCAACAUUUGUUGGUGAAACUAAAUUUUCGUGGAGGAAAUCAAUAACUUGUGUUGUAGGUGAAUCUGUUAUUAGUUCUUUAGGUUCAAUCUGCAACUCUUUUGUUUCAGAAGAUGAAGCUGAGAGUUCCAUAAGACUUAGACACCACCACAUCUCAACCCAAAACCUUAAGGCAUUAGGUUUAUGGGUCAUUCUCCUUAUAUAUCCAAUAUAGCCUCCAUUCCUAGUCAAUGUGGGACUAACCACUCAUAAUUGAGUUCCAACAUUAGACACUGGAAAAUUAGUGUCAUUUUCCACUCUAUUGGUAUCACAAAGUGAGUUGAUGGAAGCUUCAAUUGUUGGAGUUAGGACAUCAGUAUUUUCUUGAGUGUUUUCUGCCAUUAGAUUUUGUUCAGCAUUUAUUGUGGAGGAUUCUGAGGCUGAAUUGUCUUCAACUUCCUCCUUUGGAGAUCACCCUUACUUUGGACAUAUGACGUUUCUAAUCUAGUUGCACAUCUGGAAAAGUUUUCAGAAGAAUAAAUUGAACAUCUCGUUUAAUUCUAGGGGUAGUAGUGGUCAGCCUUAGGAAAUUUAUUUAUGUUAACUCUAGUCUAUGCCAAUUAUCAUUUUGGUACUACAUUUUUGAACCUUAUAAUUUCAGUAUUAAGUAUCUGAUUGAGAUACUGAUGGAUUUUAAAUUUACAAUGGAUUAUUUGUUUGUUUGUUUGAAAUUACAUGGGAAAUUAUAUAUUUUGAUUGCACGGAAAAAAAGGAUGUUACAAGGGAAGGGAUGCCACACAAGGAUAUACCCGAAUUACGUUCAGUCAUCACAACAAUCAAGACACCUAUCAACUUUGAUAGGAUUUCUUACGAUCUACCCAAACUAUACUAAACUCUUAUAGUUUGAGUUUUAUAAAACUAUGAGAUUGUUUUGUUAGAAUUUGAGAAGACUCAACACUUGUUUGAAUUUUGAUUCUUUGACAGAGAAACACACGAGAAUGAUUCUAAGAAUCAAAUGGGAAAAAUCAGAAUUGAUUCAAAGUAUGUGAAUGGGAGAAAUUCAAGUAUGAUUGAAAUGAGUAAUAAAUUGCUUAAUACUUGAAGAUCUGAUUUUUUCUUGAGCAUUGACCUUCCUUUUAUAGGCUUUUAGGAUAUUUAAUAAUGGUCAAAAUAGCUGUUAGUAGUGCUCUGUCAGAUUUGACCAAAACUAAUAUAUUUGAAUAAAAAUAUUUCAGCUUUGAACACUUUGUGAAAUCUGUUUGAUUAGGCGUUUUUCUCCGUUAUUGAUGAAUUUUCUUUUGUGUUUAGUGAUCCUUUGUACCUCAUAUAUAUUUGUUGAUGAUAUUGCUUCGAUCUGGAGAUUUGUUUUUGCCAAAAUAGCUUGGAGAAUGAUGACGAACUUCUGCAUAAAUAUGGAGAUUGAUAUUGAACUUCUGCAGAAACGGAGAUUGAUAAUCAAUCUGGAGACUGGUCUGAUCAUUUUGGAGAAAAAUGUUUGUUGCUGAAGAUCAAGUGUAACAAGUUGGGGAAUAUUUAUCAAUCUGGAGACUGAUAUUACACAGUUGUCCAUAUUGAUCAGAAUGCUAUCAAGAAUGUUCAGAUCUGUCUCGUCUUGUUAAUUCGUGAUCUUCUAUCUUUGUGAUUCAAAUGCCUUCUUUGACUAGAAUGGUUCCUACUUGUUCUUUGCCAAGUACUCAUAACUUUAGCAUGAAAUUCAGAGGCAUAAAUUUUUUUGAACUAAUAGAGAUGGAUUGAUUUUGGAGCUACCAUUCUUGAAACUGGAUAAAUUUAUUAAUAUUAAUUUAUUAAUAUAAAUUUAUUAUUAUUAAUUUAUUACUAUGAAUUUAUUACUAUUAAUUUAUUACUAUAAAUUUAUAAAUAAAUUUAUAAUUCAAACAUUUGAAAUUUAUUGCGAGAUACAAACUUCCAAAACAAUUUUGUAACUUUCCAUAAAUUUCAAAGUUUCUAAAUUGAAAAAUUUAUGUUUCUGAAAUUUACAUUUUGAAACUUUCAGGAUAUGUCAUACAUUUAAUGAUGAUUAACAAUACACUUUAGAAAUAAUAGUUCAUGACACAUUUUAUAUUUAUUGAUAACUAAUGAUAUAAUUGAUGUCGAAUCAAUACAAAAUAUAUAUUUAUUUUUUAUUUUUAUCGAAUUAAUAUUAUUUUAAAUCACUAUUUUAAUCAUUAAAAAAUAAAGAUAACCCUUAACACUUAUUUCAAAUAAAAAAUAUUUAUGAUCGUUAAAAUUUUAAAUAUUAUGCCUCUAAUGUUUAUUUAAAAUGUAUAAAAAAUUCCAUUAUUUUUUCCAUAAAGACUUGGACCAUUGCAUAGUUGAACCUACCAUUGAAGUCUAUACUUGUGAAUGAUGGCAAUAGUGAAUGUCCCUCUCACUCACUAUCUUUGCCAGAGUAACGUUUCUUACCCAACUACUAACGACAACUGCAUAAGUUUCCCAAUAGCUGAGUGCAAUAAUUCUAGUUAAAUUUGACUAAAGACGAAAAAUAUUGUCAAUAGCUAUGCAGUUGUAAUCUGUUGGACUUGAUAAAUAUGUUUGAUGAGUUUCUUUUCACAAUUUCUACAUAAAAUGAAAAAAAAAAAAGUGUAGCACUAGAUGGUAAAAAGCAAAAUGUGUUAAGUGAAUAUUUUUUUAUAUUCCAGAUUAGUGUAUCAGUAAAUCUUAUUUACUUUCACGGUAAAAUUAACAAAAUUAAGGUGAGUAAUUGUGAUUUUACAAAACCUAUUAAGUAAAAUUUCUACAAAAUCAUUGUUUAUGUUUGAUUUCACGGUGGAAGUAGUAAAAUCACAUUGACUCAUUGUGAUUUUGUAAAUCCUACUACAAAAUCAAACAUGCAUUAAGUGAAUCUCGUACAUUAUGAACUAAAUGUCAUUAUCACUCUAUAAAUACAAACAGAAAGACAACCUUGAGAUUUUAUAAUUUUAGACAUCACCUUAAAAUAUUGACAAUGAAAUUAUUUUAUAAAUUGAUCGUAACAUUUUACUAAUUAUUAAAUUAUUCUAUAAAUUUCUACUUUGUUUUCAAAUAAAUCUAUAAGAUUAUAGAUAUUUUAAAAAGUCUAUGGAAUUAGUAAUAUUUUAAAAAAGUCCUCACUCUAUUAAAUUGUUAAAUUGGUUCUUAUAUUUAACUAUUUAUUAUUAAUUAUGUUUUUUUUUAAUCCUACUACAAAAUCAAACAUGCAUUGAGUCAAACAUACAUUAAGUCAAACGUGCAUUAAAAAGUGAAUCUAUAUAAAUGUGAUUAUUACUAUAAAAUACAUAUACAUACUAUUCAUUCACAUUAUAAAAUACAUUAUCUUCCUCUAUAUAAGUCACAAAGCAGCACACAAAUUUAACUCCAAACACAUCCGAAGCAAUGGAUUCUCUUGCUUGGCUCAGUCUUUUUUGCCUUUCAAUUUUUCCUCUUUUAGCUUCCUCCACUUUGCUCUUUCAGGUAUUUUUACCAUCACAAAUACAUUUUAUAAACAACCUUAAUUAAAUGUGCAUGUAUAUAUAAUAAAUGUUGUCAAAUCACAGGGAUUCAAUUGGGAAUCAAGUAGCAAAGGAGGAUGGUACAACUUGUUGAAGAACUCCAUUCCUGACUUAGCAAAUGCAGGAAUUACUCAUGUUUGGCUCCCUCCUCCAUCUCAAAGUGUUGGUUCUCAAGGUAGUACAUUUUUGUUUGUAACUGCUUCACUCAUAAUUAAAUAUCAAUGGAUAUAUCAUGAUCAUCAUUUGUCAUUAAAUUCUUAAUUAUUUGAUUCCAGGGUAUCUUCCAGGAAGACUAUAUGAUCUUGAUGCAUCAAAAUAUGGUUCCAAGGAUGAACUAAAGUCCCUUAUAAAGGAAUUUAAUGAUAAAGGAAUAAAGAGCCUAGCUGACAUAGUAAUCAACCAUAGAACUGCAGAGAGAAAAGAUGAAAGAGGUAUUUACUGUCUCUUUGAAGGUGGGACCCCAGAUGGAAAACUUGAUUGGGGUCCAUCUUUCAUUUGCAAAGAUGACACAACUUAUUCAGAUGGCACUGGAAAUCUUGAUACUGGAGAAGGUUACAAUGCUGCACCUGACAUUGAUCAUUUAAAUCCUCAAGUACAAAGAGAGUUAUCUGAAUGGAUGAAUUGGUUAAAAACUGAAAUUGGUUUUUCUGGAUGGAGAUUUGAUUUUGUGAAAGGUUAUGCUCCUAGUAUAACAAAGAUUUAUGUGGAAAAUACUUCACCAGAUUUUGCUGUUGGAGAGUAUUGGAAUUCACUUUCUUAUGGACAAGAUGGAAAGUGUGAUUAUAAUCAAGAUAAAGCUAGAGGUGAACUUGUGAAUUGGGUUGAAUCUAGUGGUGCUGGUGUUGUUAAUGCAUUUGAUUUUACUACUAAAGGGAUUCUUCAAGUUGCUGUUGAAGGAGAACUUUGGAGGUUGAAAGAUUCGAAUGGAAAACCACCUGGUUUGAUUGGUUUGAAACCUGAAAAUGCUGUUACAUUUAUUGAUAACCAUGAUACAGGUUCUACUCAGAAACUUUGGCCAUUUCCUUCUGAUAAAGUUAUGCAGGGUUAUGGUUAUAUAUUAACACAUCCUGGGACACCAUCAAUAGUAAUUUCUCUAACCUUUUUUUCUUUUAAUAGUAAUUUCUUCUGUUGAAUCUUUAUAUUAUGGGGUAUUCUGUCUUACAUAACAUGACACGUAUAGUUAUAUUUAAUUACGUUAAAUAAAUCAUUCAAAGAAUCUAUAAUUAUUCUAUCAAAAUCAUUUAAAAUCAAAAGAUAGUUGUCCGAAAUGAAAUUUUUAAAAUUUGUAUUGAAUUUAAAUUUUGAAAAGUUGAGGAACCAAUUUACGAAUUUUGAAAAAUUAUAGGAACUAAUUUGAUAAAAUUAUAAGAACCUAUUUUCAAACUUAUUACUUUUAUUAAUAUGAUAAAUUAUUGAUGAAUGUAUUGUUGGUGCAUGCAGUUCUAUGAUCACUACAUAGAAUGGGGGCUAAUGGAGCCAAUAAAGAAAUUGACAGCUAUAAGGAAAAGGAAUGGAAUUACAGCCACAAGCAGUGUAAAUAUUUUGGCUGCUGAGUCUGAUCUUUACAUGGCUGAGAUUGAUAACAAAAUUAUUGUAAAGAUUGGACCCAAGUUGGAUCUUGGAAACCUUCUUCCAUCCAACGCACAGGUCGCUACCAAUGGACAAGACUAUGCUGUAUGGGAACUUAAGUGAAGCAUCUCACUAUUUACUAAUAUGAAAUCAAAAUAAACAAUAAAUAAUUUUGCAUUGUCAUGCUCCAUUGUAUAAGAUCUCAAACUCAAAAACAUACCUUUGAUUUGGUAAUAUCUUACACAUAUCUUUUUUUCAAUAUAUCAAAAGGCUAUACACAAUACAAAAACAUCUUUUUUUCUUUCUUCUUUUCUCACCAAGAGUGAUGAACUUAAUUUUCAUGUCAUCAAAAAGCACAUAGUCAAAACCAUACAUACUGCAAUCACUAACAUGUACAAGUAUGGUGUACUCUUUGAUUAAUCACCAAAGGUAUAUAUAUAACAAUGCGUUGUAAGUUUCUCAAAAAAAGUGAUUACCCUGAAUGAUUUUGUUGUGCUUUUCUUCUUCCAAAGAACAUAAGAAUCCGUGGAAAAAACGAUUUUUUCUUCUUUUUUCCACUUUCAUUGUUUCCAUGAGCAUUAGACUUUGGACUUGAAAGAUAAUGUACAGGAAUAUUUCCACUAUGAUCUUUGUCUUGUUUACCACUAUGACUUGUGUUCUGGUUUACCAUUUUUUGGGCUAUUUCGCCGGCUUUUCUGCGUUGUUGUCCGUGUUCGGCUCUCCAUUUUCUUAAUUCUUGUUCUACACCUAAUUUUCCUUCCCUUGCCUUCUCAGCUUUAUCCAUUGCAAUCUUCAAAGAUUCCCUUCUAUCAGCCAUUUCUUUGUUCACUUCAUUAAACUUCUCUAAUGUUUUCAUUUCGGACUCUUUAGCUAUAUUGAUCUCGGAAUUCGCAGUUGCAACUCUCGCAUUGGCUUCCUCUUCUGCAACAUGAGCUUGUUUUGUAAGAUGAUAGUACUCCUCAACCGAAAGUGUCACCCCCUUCGAUGAAUCAACUUCAUUGUUGUUGUUGCUUCGAGACGAUUCACUCUCUUGCAAUACUUUAAUUGCUUGUAUUGCCAACCUCUCAGAAGCUCUUGCAGCCUCUAUCUCCUUUUGAGCUGCAAGUAGUCUACUAUACAUUGUACUCGCGCCGGCCUUGGCUUGUUCUGCCUCCUCCUUUACUCUUCGAAGCACUUCGCGAGCUUCUUGAGCAAGCAAGUUGGCUUGAUUAGCCUCUUCGGCAGCUUCUCGUAGUUUUUUCGGCAUCUCAAGGAUUGUCUGUCUGCCUUCUUUUUCCUUCAUUUGAACCGAAAAUAAUUCUGAUUUAGUUUUGUUCAGUUCGGCUUCGAUAGAUGCAACUGUUAUGGAGGCCAUUCCUUCUCUUUGCCUAAUCGAGGCGAGCGAUGAUUUCUCUUGUUCGAGUUCCGAUCUUAAUGAUGUUGCAGCCACCUUUAAAUAACUUACCUCAGAAGUAACUUUCUCAAUGUUAAGUUUCACUUCUUCAAGUUCCUUUUUGGCUGAUGCAACUGCUUCUUGUAUUUCAUUGUGUGUCUUUUUCUCUGGUUUCUCUUUCGAUUCUCCUUCUUCAUCGCCUUCUUGGUUGGACUUUGAUUCCAUAUAGGCAUUUAAUUCAGCUUUCAAAUCAAUCAACAAUAUAGAGGCUUUACUUAGUUUAGUUUUAAGAUCCUUAGCAGACAAAAUUUUCUGGUUGAGUCUUUCUAGUUCCUCUUCUUCCUGCUUAAGUUCCUUCUCCCAAUUGAGAAAAUCUUGAUCUCUUGCCAUGACAGUUCCUAUUCUGUGUUCUUCUGCUUCCAUAUGUGCAGCAUGUGCUGUUUCCAAAGACUCCUUGAUCGCAAUCAACUCUAUAGUCAAAUCUUCAACCGUCUUUUCUACUUGUUUUGAUGCAGCAACAGCUUCUUCAGCUUUGUCCAUUGCUUCACCUUUUUCCACAACUAAGGAGGCGUACUCCGUACGCAACGCAUCGAGCUCCUCUUUCACGAAUGUUAACUCUGUGAUUGCAUCUGUAUACCUGGCUUUAGCGACCUCGAGUUGCGCCUUGGCUGCCACGCUAGAAUCUUCUGCUAUACCUUGUUCCAUCUCUUCCACUCUGAGCUUUGCAAGUUCUGAGUCUUGUCUUGCUUGACGCUCUUCGGUUUGUUCCCCCUCCNNNNNNNNNNNCGGUUUGUGCCCUCUCAAGGUUCAGUUUUAAUUCUUAUAUUAAUCUUUUAGUGCUGUCAAGCUCCUGAAGUACUUGUACUUUCACUUUUUCGGCCGCCUCUGAUCUUUUCCUAUACUCCGGAAUCUCCUCGUGCGCUUUUUCAAGCUCUUGUUCGACUUGCUUUCGCCGCUGUACAUCCAAUGCAAACACUAAAGUUAAUUGUAAUUUCAUCAGAUAAAAGCUACCAAGUCAUCAAUACAAUAGCAUCAUAUAGUAUCAAAAGGACAAGUUUAGCACAAGAUGCAACAAUAAAAUGCAGUGAUAGUAGUUUCACUAAUACAACUAUAUUUAACAGAAAUGGUAUUUUAACCCACAAAUUUGAUAUCAAAUUUCGACAUCAACAUGUAUGGUUAACACAGUUCAAAUAUGCGAAUAUAAGAAUGUGUCAGUGUCACAACUGAUUAAUCGUCCACAUAAAUAAAUGCAAAAGAUUGAUAUACCUCGACAGUCAUCAUUCGAUGAGCCUUCCAAUCGACAAUUCCUCCAAACUUAGAAACGGCCUGCUUAACAGAUUCAAAUGGAGAUGCUGUAUCAAUUAUGCCUCUUUUUUCAGCAAUUUGCUUUGCAUCUGUAGGUGAAUCAACACCUCCUACAGCAACAUCAACAAUCUUUGUUUGAGGCAGAUUCACAUUCAGUUCUUUCUGAUCAUUCUCCAACUCUUUUAUCUGAUUAUCAACAACACUGACAGUAGAAUCACUACCCUUCUGAUUGUUCAUUAUAUCUUCUAAGGAUCCUUGUUCAGAAUCUGCAACCACAGGUUCUUCGUCACUUUGCUCUAUUACAUGAUCUUCAUCAACGUUUGU